Culex quinquefasciatus (southern house mosquito) is the source of this 3491-nucleotide long non-coding RNA. RefSeq lists it as uncharacterized. The transcript has 2 exons. The record is from RefSeq and is a predicted model, not a curated record. NCBI's taxonomy places the organism in Eukaryota, Metazoa, Arthropoda, Insecta, Diptera, Culicidae.
UAAGAUCAACCAUUGUUCAUUCUACUAAGUACGUUAAACCCGUAAAAUAAAUAAUAUUCCCCAUAGUCAAAAUCUAGGCUCAUUUCCCGCACCACUCUUCGCACUCCAAGCCCUCCACGCGAGGGUAAUAAAUUAAUUUUCCUCCUAGCUUGUGGCCAACCUAGCUGUCCCGGCCAGCAACUCGACGUGAACCAACAAGUAUUUCCCCCAGUCACUCGCUGCCUCCCUUAAAAAUCCCCCCGCUGGGGCUCCAAAAGUGUACAAAUGUCCAUAAAUAACGUUUAUUGCUAUUUAGAGGAAAAUCCUGAAUCAGAUUAAUCCUUUUCUCUCCCCUCCCCUGACGUUCAAAGCUCAAUUACAGCUUUUUCGUGCCAUUUCCCCUUUUUUGCCGAAAGCUCGUCUUGUUUUAGCAAGUAGAUUUCCAGUGUGGUCGUCCGUUUUUUUCUUCACCCAGCCUUAAUUUCAAAUGCAAAGAAAAUGUAAAUUCAGCCAACUCCCCACCGACCAACCGCCGUCUGGGUGGAUAUUAAAACAAACAGAUCUCGGCGUUAGUUUCCUGCGGGAAAUGCUAUUGUUUUCAUGUACCAUUUUCCCGGGUUGGAAAACAUGUACUGCUGCCAACCGAGCCGGAAGCGGGAUACACCGGCGAUUCCGUUUGAGGAUUUACCAUGGAAAUAAAUUUUACUCGGGAGUGCUGGAUGGUAUUUUAGAAUGGUUGAAGUGCGCACUUAUUGAAGAUCAUUACAUUCUAGGAAUUGUGUUAAGAAAACAGGAUGAAAAGAAAUGUUCAAUGUUCAAAAAAUAAAUCUUUCCAGGUUUUUUAUUUUGAAAAAAAUGAAACAAUUAUGAAAUCUUCUAAAAAAAAAAUUAAUGAUCAUUUUUUUGCGGACAUAAAAAGUCAAAACAAACAAACUAUUUAUAUAUUUGCUAUGCAUCGCUCAUAAAAAUCUCUACUAUCAUCUGAAUAUCCAAAAACUUACUAUGUCAAAUAAAGUUUUUAACAAUUUAAUUUAAAAUUAUUUACUUUCAUUGGCUGUGAUAUAUUUUUCCGAGAUAAAUCCAUCAUUAUUUUUUUAAUAAAAGUUGCAGAAACAUAUGAACCUGAAGAAAUCAACAACAUUAUCUAAAAAACACUGUAUUUAACAUUUAAAAUUAUAUUCUUAUCAAAAUUAUUUAUCCUAGAAAUCACAAGCUCCUCACAAUCACUCGAAAACCUGUUUGCAUCAAUAAUCGAUUUAUUACUUUCUUUUCUUGCUUCCUUUACUAAUAUCAAAUUUCUCAUUAUAGUUCUUGUUACAUAUAUUAGAUAUCCAUAAAAUAAAGUUUUACAUAAUAAUAAAUAUAUAACCAUUUUUAUCAAUAAAAGAAUGUUUCAUAAACCAUAUUUCUAGCUUGCUUUUUCAUAAGAUCUUAUCAAUAUAUGACACCCAGGGUGCAUAGGAUCUUUUGAUAAAGUACGCUUGAUUUCAUUGAGUUAUUAUUGAAUGUAGUUAUUUCGUGAUAAAUAACUUUGCCAUUAUACUCAAAUAUAUUAAAUAAUCCGAUUAACUCCGAUCGUUAAAUUUUAAUUGCUUUCAAUCAUCUGUUUGCGUCCCUCGCCGACCAUAAACAGAGUAAUAUCAGUCGAAGCAUGCAGCCAUUUUUUUAUUCAUUUUCAUUUUGCAAUCCCUUUUUUAAUUACCCAACAUAUUGGAAUGGUUGCCACUGUGCAGUUAAACUGAACGCGUUCGAGCCUGUCGUUUUAAACUUGUUUUAAAAUCAUUUCAAAAAGUCGUUAAAAGUUCCCUCCUAUAAAAUCCAUUUUGUAUUUGUUACUUGCUACAAGCUCCUUUUACUAUUAUCGUUCCCAUAGAAAUGUCGCUCUACUCUAGCCAACAUUGUUGCAGUUUUUUGUCAUUUUUACGUCCGAUUUUUUUCAAACGAUUUUUUUACGAUUUUGUUUCAACCAAACUACUACUACUAACGCUACAUCAUACAAUAUAAAAACCGUACUGACAUUCAGUGAUAAAAGUAAAACGUCAACACAUUUACACACACAUAAAAAAAAAAUAUCCACUCGUUACUUUGCCAAACCGCAUUCGUAUAUUGAGCUUGUCUGUUACAUCAAACGGAACCAUCAACCUUGAAGUAAAGUAUGUUCUAAGCCAGUUUGCAAAAGUGUUCACUAGGACAGGUAGAGUUUGACGAGAGUGUAGAAUAGAUCAGUUCUGUAAUUAAUGGUUUUGCUAUACAACAUCAACUAAAUGUUCCCCCAAACAAAAGCUUCAUUAGUGUUACAAACUAGUUUACAUACAACAUAACGCCCUAGAUAUAGAAUAAAAAGUAUAUCGAGUCGUUCGAGUUUUACUGAAAAUAUGUACAACUGUUCUGUAGAGUUUUGGUAGAGAACAAACACAAACAUAUCAAAAGAAUAUACAUUCACUCGGAAAUAAAACACUAGAUCACAACCCGCUGGAGAGUGACACUCACAAUUAAUCCACCAAACACACACUCACACAAUCAACUAGAGUUCACAGAUAGGCCAACAGCCAUUUAUAAAUCAAGGCUAAACAACAGCCUACAAACCAACUAAAUACAAAACAAAGCCCCAAUUAGCAAGUCAGUCUGACUUGUUAUAACCUCUUAGACGUCUCUAGAACGUUUCGGCUGGGAUUCCCGCUCCCCAGGUGGCCUAAAACGUGUCGUUUAAUUAAUUGUAGCACAACACACACCCACACACACCACCACCACCUACCAACACCAUCACAACCCCCCUCAGAGUUCUCCCAGAGUAUACAGUCGCGCGAGUCCAUUACGUAUAUGCUAAUUCCAUCAUCAAGAACAACAUCAAGAAAGAAAAGUACCGAAACAAGAACAAACCAAAUCAAAAAAAAAGAGAGGGCGAGCAAGAAUGAGCGCGCGUGUGAAGAGAAAACACAUUAAUCUUCGGGCCAAAAAAAACAUCCACCAUCACACCACUCCAACAACCCGUAACAAUAGAAGCCCAUUUGGAUGACCUUCGGAAGAGAGCGCGAGAGCACACAAAUAUACCUACGCGUCGUCAACAGCGGUUGUCACCGGGGUGGAAUCGCAUCGACCUCAUAACUCUCAACUCAACUCAACUCGUUCUCAAAUCGUUCAACGGAAAUAAACCAUAAAGUCAAGUCAAAUCAACACAUAAGUUUCACACACUACUACGACCAACUACCUCUACUACAACCACCACCAACUACUACGAAUUCGCCGACACGUUGUUGUUGAUCUUACUCAAUUGAAGUGUGCAUUUCUGGUGUUUUUAAUUAUUUACUGAAAAAAUGCAAUAAAUUAAUAUCAAAACCUGCCAAAGCCUGAAACCUCAGCCGAAUGAAGUAAAGCGAAAGUCGACAGCGUAGAAAAUACAUGCUAGGUUAGGGAUAUCAAACAAGUGCACUGAAACGAAAAGUUAACCUCAAAAGGUUCGUGUUCCUCUUUUAAACCGAAAGACUUUUGCCGAAUAAAUAAAAUGAAAAAAA